Molecule: ribosomal RNA, 497 nt
Filed under: uncultured bacterium
Lineage: Bacteria
Description: partial 16S ribosomal RNA
Rfam family: Bacterial small subunit ribosomal RNA
Source: RNAcentral
GAUGAACGCUGGCGGCGUGCCUAAUACAUGCAAGUCGAGCGAACGGACGAGAAGCUUGCUUCUCUGAUGUUAGCGGCGGACGGGUGAGUAACACGUGGAUAACCUACCUAUAAGACUGGGAUAACUUCGGGAAACCGGAGCUAAUACCGGAUAAUAUUUUGAACCGCAUGGUUCAAUAGUGAAAGACGGUCUUGCUGUCACUUAUAGAUGGAUCCGCGCUGCAUUAGCUAGUUGGUAAGGUAACGGCUUACCAAGGCAACGAUGCGUAGCCGACCUGAGAGGGUGAUCGGCCACACUGGAACUGAGACACGGUCCAGACUCCUACGGGAGGCAGCAGUAGGGAAUCUUCCGCAAUGGGCGAAAGCCUGACGGAGCAACGCCGCGUGAGUGAUGAAGGUCUUCGGAUCGUAAAACUCUGUUAUUAGGGAAGAACAAAUGUGUAAGUAACUGUGCACGUCUUGACGGUACCUAAUCAGAAAGCCACGGCUAACUACGUG